AGAAACCUGGGAAGAAAACACAACAGUUCGCGUCAAUAGUAAGAGAGGUGUUGAACAGAAGCAGAGCCCUGGAGCGUGAGGACAGACAUUGACCGCAAUGAAGGACGUGUGCUGAAGGACGGGACUCAUUUUCAAUGAUGCCAACCUUCCUUUUUCGUGUUCAGACUGAAGUACAUUAAAGUGGAUCUGUUUUGUCUUUU
This is a long non-coding RNA of Puntigrus tetrazona (Sumatra barb), 200 nucleotides long. RefSeq lists it as uncharacterized. The record is from RefSeq and is a predicted model, not a curated record. Lineage: Eukaryota; Metazoa; Chordata; Actinopteri; Cypriniformes; Cyprinidae. The transcript has 3 exons.